UCCCCCUUACCCUGUGACACAGAAACCACCAGAAGAAAAGGGAACUUCAGGAAGUAAGCGGUGCCGCCGGUUUCAAUCCUGUUCUUAGUCUUUGCAGCGUGGAGUUCACACCCCUGGGGACCUGAGGGCCGAGCUGUGAUUUCCUAGGAAGACAAAUAGCAGCUGACGGCGUGGGCAAGUCUGCCCACAUGUACCGCGCCAAAACAGGAAGGGCUGAGACCCCCACCUCGCCUCCACCAAGGGCCCAUCGGUCUUCCCCCUGGCGCCCUGCUCCAGGAGCACCUCCGAGAGCACAGCGGCCCUGGGCUGCCUGGUCAAGGACUACUUCCCCGAACCGGUGACGGUGUCGUGGAACUCAGGCGCUCUGACCAGCGGCGUGCACACCUUCCCGGCUGUCCUACAGUCCUCAGGACUCUACUCCCUCAGCAGCGUGGUGACCGUGCCCUCCAGCAACUUCGGCACCCAGACCUACACCUGCAACGUAGAUCACAAGCCCAGCAACACCAAGGUGGACAAGACAGUUG
This 524-nucleotide long non-coding RNA is filed under the name Homo sapiens (human). RNAcentral's name for it is "non-protein coding lnc-BRF1-9:3". Lineage: Eukaryota; Metazoa; Chordata; Mammalia; Primates; Hominidae. The record is from RNAcentral.